AGGGCCACAUGACAAGAAUUUGAUAAGUGGGUAAUGCGGUCUCACCUAAGGAAAGAAAGACCCGAAUGCCUUAACAUCCAGUUCAUCACCAAGACUCGCCCUCCCCUAGAUGGGUCUAGUCUUGGCAUAAAGUUAUCGCUAGUAGGAACAAUCCAACGGAUUCUCGUUACGCCUAUAAUCACAGGAUCCCUGACCAGUUAACCCGACGGGAUCCCUUAUCAAGCAGCCAACCACAUCAUUGCUUUAGAAAAUGUUAUAUUUAUCUCCAUCUUCUUACCGUAUAAAAGAGAAAUGAUCACAAAAACAAAGGUACAUUAUUUUCUUACACAACUACUCUCAAGUUCUACAUUUGCCCUAUUCUCCAGUUUACUAACUCGAGCAUCAGAGUGGCUGUUGUACGCACCCAC
Molecule: long non-coding RNA, 407 nt
Filed under: Manihot esculenta (cassava)
Lineage: Eukaryota; Viridiplantae; Streptophyta; Magnoliopsida; Malpighiales; Euphorbiaceae
Description: long non-coding RNA (MESC_LNC009723)
Source: RNAcentral